RNAcentral lists this ribosomal RNA (522 nucleotides) under uncultured bacterium. RNAcentral describes it as "bacterial SSU rRNA". It matches the Rfam family "Bacterial small subunit ribosomal RNA", at positions 791 to 1310 of the family's 1533-position model. The record is from RNAcentral.
UAGUCCACGCCGUAAACGAUGAGAACUAGCCGUAGGGAUCGUAUAGAUUUUUGUGGCGCAGUUAACGCAAUAAGUUCCUCCGCCUGGGGAGUACGGCCGCAAGGUUAAAACUCAAAUGAAUUGGACGGGGGCCCGCACAAGCGGUGGAGCAUGUGGUUUAAUUCGAUGCAACGCGAAGAACCUUACCUACCCUUGACAUCCCAACGAAUCUUGCAGAGAUGCAGGAGUGCCUUCGGGAACGUGGUGACAGGUGCUGCAUGGCUGUCGUCAGCUCGUGUUGUGAAAUGUUGGGUUAAGUCCCGUAACGAGCGCAACCCUUGUCCUUAGUUGCCAGCGAUUCGGUCGGGGACUCUAAGGAGACUGCCGGUGACAAACCGGAGGAAGGUGGGGACGACGUCAAGUCAUCAUGGCCCUUACGGGUAGGGCUACACACGUGCUACAAUGGCCAGUACAAAGGGCAGCCAAGCGGCGACGCGGAGCUAAUCCCAUAAAGCUGGUCGUAGUCCGGAUUGCAGUCUGCAA